Pseudopipra pipra is the source of this 1316-nucleotide long non-coding RNA. RefSeq lists it as uncharacterized. The record is from RefSeq and is a predicted model, not a curated record. Lineage: Eukaryota; Metazoa; Chordata; Aves; Passeriformes; Pipridae. The transcript is spliced from 3 exons.
UCCUGGCAUUCUCUGCAGUCAACAGUGAGAGGUGGCUGUGACACCAACAUUAAGCACCUCCAAAGGAUGGUGUGAGGAGAAGCCUGCUUGGCGGCAUUCAGUGAGGGCCAGCAUUUUGUCUAAGGCAGUGCUGAGAUCCUGCAUUGAGACAUGAUUAUUGCCAGAAACUUCAAAAGAUGCAAGUAACUCUGCAUUAGAGAGUGUGAUGAAAAGCUGUUCUGCAUGGAAAACUCAUUUUAACAUCUAUCUGAAAAGGCUUCCAACCUCAAAAUAGAUGAAAUCAGAGUGUGGCAAUAACAGCUGUGGAGCCUGUCUGCCUGGGAGGCAGCCAUCAGCCCAGCGGUGCUGCUGAGGACAGGUACUGCUGUUCAUUUCUGCAACUGCCCAGAGACACGUGCUGCGCCACAGGAAACACUGCCAAGGGCAGAUGGGACGAACCUGUGUGGGAUGUAAAAUAUUCAUCACACCUGCUUGGUGCAAAUGAACAUGAACAGUGGGAAUAUCCCUGUCUGCAGAAGGGAAACUACUCACUGGGCUCUCUUUUACAGCUCACAGAGCUGCAUACACACAACCAUUUUUGUCUCUGCACUACCCAAUGUAUGUGGGACUCCUUGGCUGCCCUCACAUUGCACUUAGGUGAUGCAGUCAGGUCAUCUCACUGUCUGGUCCUUCUCCCUUGGUGCCUGUAACUGUGACCCUGUUGGUGAUUCCAGAUGCUGUGAUGCUCCAGCCCUAUCCCUUAUACAGUCACUGAAAACACAUCUUCCCAGAGGAUAUAUGAACAGCAGACCAGACCAUACAUGUGUGCUUGUGCGCAUGCAGAUCUAUGUACCCAUGCACACAAACACAUGACUAUCUCCUCAUAUAAAUCCCCUAAUAAACUAAACAUAGGGUAAUCUCCUGACUCAGUCACUUUGACUCCCCACUUUUAAUUGGGCUAUUGCCUAUUUAGGUACUAAGCACUCCAGGACUGCAACAUCAUCUUUAUGUCAUCUGUAAAAUGUCUAGCACUCUGUUGGGAUAACUGCAGGAUAACAAAAAUUUUAAUGUGUUGAUUUCUAAUGUGAACAUUAUAUGGAGCUCAAAAAAGAGGAAUACAUUAAGUCAGCCAAGUAGUAUCUGUUUUCAACACACUCAGUUCAAUCCAGACAUCCUUUUGUGACUUGUUCUGUGUAAUUCGAUUAAACAAAAGCUAAUGUUAACUUAAACAGGUUGUACUGCACUGACAAUAAGAAGGUAGAGAUUGAUUUUUCAAGUGAAGCUAGAAUUCAUGUUUUGUGAUGGCUAAAACCAUAUUAUUUCUACAAUUAAAAAGU